UACGUAGGGUGCAAGCGUUGUCCGGAAUUAUUGGGCGUAAAGAGCUCGUAGGCGGUUUGUCGCGUCUGCUGUGAAAACUCGGGGCUUAACCCCGGGCCUGCAGUGGGUACGGGCAGACUAGAGUGCGGUAGGGGAGACUGGAAUUCCUGGUGUAGCGGUGAAAUGCGCAGAUAUCAAGUGGAACACCAGUGGCGAAGGCGAAUCCCUGGAAAAUACCUGACACUGAGGCACGAAAGCUAGGGGAGCAAACAGG
This 253-nucleotide ribosomal RNA is filed under the name uncultured bacterium. RNAcentral's name for it is "partial 16S ribosomal RNA". It matches the Rfam family "Bacterial small subunit ribosomal RNA", at positions 524 to 776 of the family's 1533-position model. The record is from RNAcentral.